GCAGAAGGGAAUUUCACCACGGUCAAAGUAAUAUUCACCUUUGGUAGUUAAUCCUGGGAGGUGGAAAUAAGCUUUUCAUAACUGGCAUAUAACAAAGAUAUGAUGAUCCAAAUCGGUGACACUGAACAAAAGAGUAUUUUUCCAAUAAAAUGGAAAUGUGCUAAAAACACUAAAUAUCAUGUAUGAAAUGUACAGAUUAUAUUCAUCUCAAAUUAUGUUAUUUUGAAAUUUACGUAAAAAGAGUAAACACUAAUUAGCAGUGUUAUAGACUCUCUAGAAAUGGGUUAGUUUUCUCAAUGAGAAUUAAAAUCUCCAAUAGAAUAACAGCCCUCACAAGACAAAUCUUAGUGAGUUUCAAUUCAAAUCACCUAACACCAUAUUGGAGAUACAAAAAUAAAUGAGGAGUUUGGAAAGUGAUUAUAAGAAUGACUAUGCUAGCCAUACUAAAUGAUAAUUCUGCACAUGUAUGUGCAUAUUGUGGUAUACACACACAUCGCGCGCGCGUGUGUGUGUGUGUGUGUGUGUGUGUGUGUGUGCAUGUGAAUAUCAAGGUGCAUGUGUACAGGUCUGAGAUUAACCUGAGCAAUCUAUGGGUUAUAGUUGGUCCUAAGGAACUCAGGUCAUGAGACGUUAAGUAACGUGUCCCUAUCUAUUUCACCUAAUUAUGCUAUUUCUUUUAUAAUCAUUUUUCCUAUGUAUAAUAUAACUUCAAUUUGUAUAUCAUUUUAUUAUCUUCAUAAAUUAAAGUACCUGACAAUAAUGAAUAUUAAGCAGUUAGUCCAAGUUCACAGAAAUUGAAUAAAUCGCCAACUCUUUUCAAUUCAGGAAUCUGAGCUUUAUAGCUUUCAUAGCUAAUUUCUAUUUUAAACUAUUCAAAAAUGGGUUUUCUAAUGUAAAAAUUUACAAAUUUACAAAUUAUGAGACCCUUGGGGUUAAAAAUAAAGUGAGUUUGGAUCCCGAGGAGGACUUAAUUAGUGAACUUCAGUUGAUAUAUGAAUAAAAAUGUCUCCAAAUGAAAUGUCAAGGAAGAAAAUAACACAGAAUAAAAGAAUUUCAGAAGUUGUUACUAUAUAUGAGAAAGAGCAUGUGUAUGUGUAUACAUAUAAUAUAACAAAGCAGAAAAAAGAAGCACUUGAAAUAAUAGCAUCCGAUAACUUCCCAAAAUUAAUUAUUGUCAUUAUAUCCUACUAUAAUUUUUAAAGACGAAGAUUGUUCAAAAUUUUAGAUUACAUAGCAUAUUUGAAGCCUAGAAAAAUAAGGAUUGAUGUAACAAAGG
This 1276-nucleotide long non-coding RNA is filed under the name Mus musculus (house mouse). Its description in RNAcentral is "long non-coding RNA chr6:63816810-63818086". Lineage: Eukaryota; Metazoa; Chordata; Mammalia; Rodentia; Muridae. The record is from RNAcentral.